Molecule: ribosomal RNA, 34 nt
Filed under: Gracilaria salicornia
Lineage: Eukaryota; Rhodophyta; Florideophyceae; Gracilariales; Gracilariaceae
Also listed under: 1 other name
Description: partial 18S ribosomal RNA
Source: RNAcentral
GUUUCCGUAGGUGAACCUGCGGAAGGAUCAUUCU